UAUGAAGUUCCAAGGAUUCUGUUAUUGCAGCAUCAUCGAUUGCACCCGGGAGAUCCUGCUUGUUUGCAUAUACAAGUACAACAGCACGUUUCAACUCUUCCUCCUCCAAGAUAGCAUGAAACUCAUCCUUUGCAGUUACCAAUCUAUCAGUGUCACUAGAAUCAACAACAUAUAUAAUAGCUUGAGUGUUUGGAAAAUAGCAUCUCCAAUAUGGCCUGAUGCUUGUCUGUCCACCCAGAUCCCAGACUUGAAACUUGAUAUUGUUGUAUUGCACCGUCUCCACAUUAAACCCGAUUGUUGGAAUGGUGGAGACGACUUCCCCCAUCUGAAGUCGAUAGAGGAUUGUAGUUUUUCCG
This 356-nucleotide unclassified non-coding RNA is filed under the name Hevea brasiliensis (rubber tree). Lineage: Eukaryota; Viridiplantae; Streptophyta; Magnoliopsida; Malpighiales; Euphorbiaceae. The record is from RNAcentral.